Lotus japonicus is the source of this 697-nucleotide long non-coding RNA. RefSeq lists it as uncharacterized. The record is from RefSeq and is a predicted model, not a curated record. The transcript is spliced from 2 exons. Lineage: Eukaryota; Viridiplantae; Streptophyta; Magnoliopsida; Fabales; Fabaceae.
AUUCCCUUGAAACAACCAAAAAGUUUUUGUCCUCUCCUUGACUUAUUGUCCUUGUCCCUCUGUAGUGUUUGGAACCUCUCCCUCUGCAGUUGCUGGAACUUGAGACCCCUCCACUGGAUCUGCCAUCUCUCCAUUUCCAUGAACUUCCAUCACAACCUCAGCUUGCUCCACUAGAUCUGCAGAACCUUCCUGUUGAAUAGAAAACUAUGGUCAGUAUAAAUCAAGAUUUGUGCUAAUUAAUUAAUUUCAUUAUGCAGAUCUGUACAAAACUUACUGGAGGGGUUGGAGCUGUUGUUGGUGCCUGGUUUCCAGCUUGCUCCUGUGCUGGUUCUUGAGGAUCUGUCACAUUACCCUGCUAUUGAACAGAGAAUUAUGAUUUUGACCGCUCCAAAAACAAGGAACUGUGGUCGUGUGGUGGAGGCCUAUAAUAUUGAGAAUGAGAAUAUCAAAACAAGCCACGUCCAUGUACAGUGUACACAAUGAAACACACUUGAUUCAUAAACCAUCUUAAGGACAUUCCACAUUUAUCUAAUUUUUUUCUCAAUUUUUCUCGAAAUAUUGUUGGCAAAGAAAUGUCCACUUGCCAAAUAGAUCUUUCUUUAUUGACAAGUGUCUCAUAAUCAACUUGUUCACACUUUCCUAGGUCAUGCCUGCUGGACCCCCUUAAAAUAUACAAUUUGAAUUAUUUUUUUCUAAA